CCAAUAGCGUAUAUUAAAGUUGUUGCAGUUAAAAAGCUCGUAGUUGAACUUCGGGGUUUACCCAUUGGUCAGGCUUAAUUGUCUGCACUGGUGAGAUGAAUCUCUACCUUCUGAGGAACUUUCAUGCCAUUUAUUUGGUGUGAUGGGAAAUCAGGACUGUUACUUUGAAAAAAUUAGAGUGUUUAAAGCAGGCUAACGUCUGAAUACAUUAGCAUGGAAUAAUGAAAUAGGACGGACUGAUUCUAUUUCGUUGGUUUCUAGGAUCGCCGUAAUGAUUAAUAGGGAUAGUUGGGGGCAUUAGUAUUCAAUUGUCAGAGGUGAAAUUCUUGGAUUUAUUGAAGACUAACUACUGCGAAAGCAUUUGCCAAGGAUGUUUUCAUUAAUCAAGAACGAAAGUUAGGGGAUCGAAGACGAUCAGAUACCGUCGUAGUCUUAACCAUAAACUAUGCCGACUAGGGAUCGGACGAAGUUAAUUUUAUAAUGACGCGUUCGGCACCUUACG
Molecule: ribosomal RNA, 502 nt
Filed under: uncultured Glomeromycotina
Lineage: Eukaryota; Fungi; Glomeromycota
Description: partial small subunit ribosomal RNA
Rfam family: Eukaryotic small subunit ribosomal RNA
Source: RNAcentral